This is a long non-coding RNA of Gopherus evgoodei (Goodes thornscrub tortoise), 532 nucleotides long. RefSeq lists it as uncharacterized. Lineage: Eukaryota; Metazoa; Chordata; Testudines; Testudinidae. The record is from RefSeq and is a predicted model, not a curated record. The transcript has 3 exons.
GGCUUUUCCUAGGAAGGGCCAUGUACUGCCUAGGACUGAAGGGGCAACUUCUUCACAUGCCCACUGGCCUCUCAGCCUGGAUAAAGAAAGGCCUCUGGGAGCUGCAGCAAACUGCUGCAUGACAACUUGCAAGGGGAAGAAAAAGAAGCUCUCCUUCAAGCCAGAGUCAGAAGGGCGACGUCAGGAUGACUUCCUGAGUGCCGGCUCCAGUCCUUUGCUCUACCAGCUGACCUAUCGAAGGGCUGCCACCUCUCUCUCCAGAAAUAUGUUAUGAGGUUGGGAAAUGCCCACCACCAGCCUUUCAGGUGUGACAAUGGAGGAGCCUGACUCCCUUCUGGCCCACUGAAGGUAUCCACACUCCCAAGGACUAUUCCAGGAACUGUGUUCAAUGCAGACUUCUCCGAGAUAGCCCAGCAACAAUGGACAGUGCUUGACUCAUGUCGUAGCAAAGGUACUUCCUAGCAAGUUGGAAGAAACUAUGAAAGGGAAGUAGAGACAUUAUGAAUUGGCCUCUCUCCCCCACAACUCAACA